AUUGAACGCUGGCGGCAUGCCUUACACAUGCAAGUCGAACGGCAGCACGGGUGCUUGCACCUGGUGGCGAGUGGCGAACGGGUGAGUAAUACAUCGGAACGUACCUUAUCGUGGGGGAUAACGCAGCGAAAGCUGUGCUAAUACCGCAUACGCCCUGAGGGGGAAAGCGGGGGAUCGCAAGACCUCGCGCGAUUAGAGCGGCCGAUGCCCGAUUAGCGUGUUGGUGGGGUAAAAGCCCACCAAGGCGACGAUCAGUAGCUGGUCUGGGAGGACGAUGAGCCAGACUGGGACUGAGACACGGCCCAGACUCCUACGGGAGGCAGCAGUGGGGAAUUUUGGACAAUGGGGGCUACCCUGAUCCAGCAAUGCCGCGUGAGUGAAGAAGGCCUUCGGGUUGUAAAGCUCUUUUGUCAGGGAAGAAACACCGGCUCUAACACAGUCCGGGAAUGACGGUACCUGAAGAAUAAGCACCGGCUAACUACGUGCCAGCAGCCGCCGUAA
This 501-nucleotide ribosomal RNA is filed under the name uncultured bacterium. Its description in RNAcentral is "partial 16S ribosomal RNA". It matches the Rfam family "Bacterial small subunit ribosomal RNA", at positions 29 to 523 of the family's 1533-position model. The record is from RNAcentral.